GACAGAGGUGCCGAGCGUUAGGCGGAAUCACUGGGCUUAAAGCGUGUGUAGGCGGGCCGUUAAGUGUCUUGUGAAAUCCCCCGGCUCAACCGGGGAAUUGCUGGGCAUACUGGCGGUCUUGAGCGAUCUAGGGGCAGAUGGAACAAGUGGUGGAGCGGUGAAAUGCGUAGAUAUCACUUGGAACGCCAAAGGUGAAGACAGUCUGCUGGGGAUCUGCUGACGCUGAGACACGAAAGCGUGGGGAUCAAACAGG
Molecule: ribosomal RNA, 253 nt
Filed under: uncultured bacterium
Lineage: Bacteria
Description: partial 16S ribosomal RNA
Rfam family: Bacterial small subunit ribosomal RNA
Source: RNAcentral